This is an RNA transcript of Helianthus annuus (common sunflower), 2148 nucleotides long. It is a transcript of the gene named syntaxin-52-like, with no coding region annotated. The record is from RefSeq and is a predicted model, not a curated record. The transcript is spliced from 6 exons. Lineage: Eukaryota; Viridiplantae; Streptophyta; Magnoliopsida; Asterales; Asteraceae.
CGUUCCAUCUUCCUAAACAUGUUAGGGUUUUUUACAUUGAAGUCGCCCUGUUCUUCUCCGUCUUCAAUCUUCGAUCUUCAUCUAAAUGGUACACUCGAAACCCUAGCGCCUCCCUCACAUUUUCUACAGAUCCAUAUGUUGGAAUGGAAGAGUUUCACAGUCACGAAACCCUAGCCAUCAUCAUCUUCCCUGUUUUGAUUUAAGAAGAAAACCCGUACACGAUUUUGAUUUUUCAUUCAUAUUGUCUGACGAUUCUUUUCCCAUCAGCAGCAACUCUCACUGCCACCACCGCACUCCAUCCUACCGUCGCAUCACCACCGUCUCCUCUCACAACUGCGUCAACGAAGCACCGUCCAAAUACCUGCGCUCGUCUUCAUUGUCAUUCAGGGACGUAGGGCGUUGCUGGUAGCUAAAGAUAAAAAUCCAAAGAUUUCCAAAGCAUAUUCAAAGACCAUCCAAAUCAAAGCCGAAUCUUCUCCACUUCUCUCAUAUCAAUCAUUGUUGCAAAUGCUCAAGAACGAUUCUUGCAUAUCAUCAAGAACUAUCCACAUAAUCAAAGUUAAGCACUUCAAUUUCUUAUUUGUCGUUAAGACUGUCGGUUUUUAAUAAUGAUUUUGAACGUCGUUUUUUAUUGUUAUGCUAAUGUCGAUUUUGAAGAACAAUACCAAAUAUCGAAGAAAUCAAAGGUAUGUUUAUCGUUUUGUCAUCUCUUUUUUUUGUUCGACUAUGGGCAAGAUCAAGUACUUCGAAAAGUAUUUUGAUGAUACAUUUGAUCACAGGUAGUAGUUUUUCAUUUUUUUCUUUAUUAAUAUUAGUUUGAUAGUUGUUUUUUGCCUGUAAUCAAUCUGUGUAGAUUAUGUUUUCCGAAUAAUUCGAUUCACUAUUUGGGAUAUGUAUGCUUCACAUUUUGAAAGCAAUAUAUGAACACUAGGGUUGAACGAAUCAAUCUAUGAAUGUUCUUCGCUGCUUUAAUACUGAUCUUGUGUAUCUGUUGUCUAGGUAGAAUUUUAGGAACAUGAUGUCAGCAAAAGGUUCGAAAAUGCUACGUAAUUUUAGUUACACUCACGACUAUCGCCUUUUUUUUGCCGAUAAGUCUUCUUUACCACCAUCACCACCUGAUGAUUUUCGCUGCGGUUUUAGAUAAUUAUGGAUGUUUGUGAGCCCUAAUUUGGAUGCAAUUAAGUAUAACGGUGGCUGGCGGUUAAUGUGUUAGUUUUUUUAUUGUUUCUGUUUCAGAUAAAUGAUGUCUUCUGCGGAUUCGUGGAUGAGGGAGUAUAAUUAAGCGUCUAAACUUGCUAAUGACAUUACUGGUAUGAUAUCAGAGAGGAGUUCGUUUGUAGCAGGGUCCGAAGCUCAGCGUCAUUCGUCUGCGAUUCGGAGGAAGAUUGCGAUAUUGGGAACUAGACUUGAUAGUUUGCAGUCUCUUCUGACAAAGCUUCCUGCAAAACAGCCUCUAACGGGGAAAGAAAUGAACAGACGCAGACAUAUGCUUGCAAAUUUGAGAACAAAAGUAACACAGAUGGCGUCCAUGUUGAACAUGUCAAGCUUUCGUAAUAGGGACAACUUGCUUGGGCCAGGUACUAAAUAUCUGGGUUGGUGGCUGAUGAUGGGAGAUUAUGGCGCCGGAAUUUCAGGUCGAUGGUGAUGGUGGUGCCCUUCACCAUUAAUCAGUAUGGUAUUGAAUAUAGGAGACUUGAUGGCUCAUUGUCUUCAUCUGCAAGGGAUAGUGCUGUUAAAGAUUUCAACACUGAUCCUGAGGUGGCUUCCUAUUCUUUAUAGUUAUUACAUGAAAAUAAGUCCACUGAUUGCUAGAGUUAGCAAAACGGGUGGGUCGGAUAAAUGUUUGGGUCAAAUAAAAUUAUUUUUCCUUAUAUGAGUUGAAACAAGUAAGGCUAACCAACUUAUUAUUAUAGGGCUAAAAAAAUCACACUGAAGUUUCAAAAUGGUUGAUUUGCCAUAGUUAGUUAAGAUAACCUGUUAACUUAUCUUGAAGUAGAAAAGUUGGAAAUUGGCUACCUUAAAUAAAAAAGUUCUAAACUUUAAUGCAAUCAAUUUUUUUUUAAACAAAUUAGCGUUGAAUGAUAUUACAAAAUUUUAGUAUUUCAUAAAUAAAAUGAUUUAGGAGGUUUUAUCAAUUAAAGAUUCACU